RNAcentral lists this small nuclear RNA (107 nucleotides) under Tursiops truncatus (common bottlenose dolphin). The record is from RNAcentral. Lineage: Eukaryota; Metazoa; Chordata; Mammalia; Artiodactyla; Delphinidae.
AUGCUCAUUUUGGCAGCCCAUAAACUAAAAUUGGAAUGAUAUAGAGAAGAUUAGCAUGGCCUCUGCACAAGUAUAACAUGGAAAUUUGUAAAGUGUUCCAUCUUUUU